Molecule: ribosomal RNA, 716 nt
Filed under: Triticum aestivum (bread wheat)
Lineage: Eukaryota; Viridiplantae; Streptophyta; Magnoliopsida; Poales; Poaceae
Description: partial small subunit ribosomal RNA
Source: RNAcentral
GGCCGGAUUGCCGAUGCCUGGCGCUACAGAGCGCCUUGGAGAGGAUAAGGAGGACGUCCCCGAUGUCGUGGACAAACCCUAGCUGCUUUUCCACUUCCCCUCGCUCGCUCUCCCCUCCACAACACGCGCCCGACACGCCGUCGCCGCCUCUCGUUGAUCCCGUGGCCACUGGCCUCCCCUCGUCGCGCCAAGAGGUCCAGGAGAACCGUCGUGGUCUACUUCGUCUACCCCGAGCACUGGAUCGAGCAAGGAAGGUCCGUACACUCGCCAUCGACCUCGUCUUCCACGCGUACAUCGCCGGCGUCCGGCGUCGAUUGCCGCCGCUCCGGUCCACCUCCGGCCUCCCCGACCUCGCCUUCGUGCUCACUACCCCGAGACCGAUGUUGCCCCUGUGAUCGACUACGUCGACGACGACCCCUCCUUGCCAGAACAACCAGGAGUCAGACGACGCCACUGGCGACUACUACUACCCGGAGGAUGCCUACUACUACGUGACGGCCGCUGACGACUUGGAGUAGUUAGGAGGCUCCCAGGCAGGAGGCCUUGCCUUUUCGAUCAUUGUUGCAUUUGUGCUAGCCUUCUUAAGGCAAUGUUGUUUAACUCAUGUCUGUACUUAGAUAUUGUUGCUUCCGCUGACUCUUGUGUAUUCGAGCUUAUGUAUUCGAGCCCUCGAGGCCCCUGGCUUGUAAUAUAAAGCUUGUAUUAUUUUAAUUUGU